RNAcentral lists this ribosomal RNA (2903 nucleotides) under Escherichia coli. RNAcentral describes it as "23S ribosomal RNA". It matches the Rfam family "Bacterial large subunit ribosomal RNA". The record is from RNAcentral. Lineage: Bacteria; Pseudomonadati; Pseudomonadota; Gammaproteobacteria; Enterobacterales; Enterobacteriaceae.
UUAAGCGACUAAGCGUACACGGUGGAUGCCCUGGCAGUCAGAGGCGAUGAAGGACGUGCUAAUCUGCGAUAAGCGUCGGUAAGGUGAUAUGAACCGUUAUAACCGGCGAUUUCCGAAUGGGGAAACCCAGUGUGAUUUGUCACACUAUCAUUAACUGAAUCCAUAGGUUAAUGAGGCGAACCGGGGGAACUGAAACAUCUAAGUACCCCGAGGAAAAGAAAUCAACCGAGAUUCCCCCAGUAGCGGCGAGCGAACGGGGAGGAGCCCAGAGCCUGAAUCAGUGUGUGUGUUAGUGGAAGCGUCUGGAAAGGCGCGCGAUACAGGGUGACAGCCCCGUACACAAAAAUGCACAUGCUGUGAGCUCGAUGAGUAGGGCGGGACACGUGGUAUCCUGUCUGAAUAUGGGGGGACCAUCCUCCAAGGCUAAAUACUCCUGACUGACCGAUAGUGAACCAGUACCGUGAGGGAAAGGCGAAAAGAACCCCGGCGAGGGGAGUGAAAAAGAACCUGAAACCGUGUACGUACAAGCAGUGGGAGCACGCUUCGGCGUGUGACUGCGUACCUUUUGUAUAAUGGGUCAGCGACUUAUAUUCUGUAGCAAGGUUAACCGAAUAGGGGAGCCGAAGGGAAACCGAGUCUUAACUGGGCGUUAAGUUGCAGGGUAUAGACCCGAAACCCGGUGAUCUAGCCAUGGGCAGGUUGAAGGUUGGGUAACACUAACUGGAGGACCGAACCGACUAAUGUUGAAAAAUUAGCGGAUGACUUGUGGCUGGGGGGUGAAAGGCCAAUCAAACCGGGAGAUAGCUGGUUCUCCCCGAAAGCUAUUUAGGUAGCGCCUCGUGAAUUCAUCUCCGGGGGUAGAGCACUGUUUCGGCAAGGGGGUCAUCCCGACUUACCAACCCGAUGCAAACUGCGAAUACCGGAGAAUGUUAUCACGGGAGACACACGGCGGGUGCUAACGUCCGUCGUGAAGAGGGAAACAACCCAGACCGCCAGCUAAGGUCCCAAAGUCAUGGUUAAGUGGGAAACGAUGUGGGAAGGCCCAGACAGCCAGGAUGUUGGCUUAGAAGCAGCCAUCAUUUAAAGAAAGCGUAAUAGCUCACUGGUCGAGUCGGCCUGCGCGGAAGAUGUAACGGGGCUAAACCAUGCACCGAAGCUGCGGCAGCGACACUAUGUGUUGUUGGGUAGGGGAGCGUUCUGUAAGCCUGUGAAGGUGGCCUGUGAGGGUUGCUGGAGGUAUCAGAAGUGCGAAUGCUGACAUAAGUAACGAUAAAGCGGGUGAAAAGCCCGCUCGCCGGAAGACCAAGGGUUCCUGUCCAACGUUAAUCGGGGCAGGGUGAGUCGACCCCUAAGGCGAGGCCGAAAGGCGUAGUCGAUGGGAAACAGGUUAAUAUUCCUGUACUUGGUGUUACUGCGAAGGGGGGACGGAGAAGGCUAUGUUGGCCGGGCGACGGUUGUCCCGGUUUAAGCGUGUAGGCUGAUUUUCCAGGCAAAUCCGGAAAAUCAAGGCUGAGGCGUGAUGACGAGGCACUACGGUGCUGAAGCAACAAAUGCCCUGCUUCCAGGAAAAGCCUCUAAGCAUCAGGUAACAUCAAAUCGUACCCCAAACCGACACAGGUGGUCAGGUAGAGAAUACCAAGGCGCUUGAGAGAACUCGGGUGAAGGAACUAGGCAAAAUGGUGCCGUAACUUCGGGAGAAGGCACGCUGAUAUGUAGGUGAAGCGACUUGCUCGUGGAGCUGAAAUCAGUCGAAGAUACCAGCUGGCUGCAACUGUUUAUUAAAAACACAGCACUGUGCAAACACGAAAGUGGACGUAUACGGUGUGACGCCUGCCCGGUGCCGGAAGGUUAAUUGAUGGGGUUAGCGGUAACGCGAAGCUCUUGAUCGAAGCCCCGGUAAACGGCGGCCGUAACUAUAACGGUCCUAAGGUAGCGAAAUUCCUUGUCGGGUAAGUUCCGACCUGCACGAAUGGCGUAAUGAUGGCCAGGCUGUCUCCACCCGAGACUCAGUGAAAUUGAACUCGCUGUGAAGAUGCAGUGUACCCGCGGCAAGACGGAAAGACCCCGUGAACCUUUACUAUAGCUUGACACUGAACAUUGAGCCUUGAUGUGUAGGAUAGGUGGGAGGCUUUGAAGUGUGGACGCCAGUCUGCAUGGAGCCGACCUUGAAAUACCACCCUUUAAUGUUUGAUGUUCUAACGUUGACCCGUGAUCCGGGUUGCGGACAGUGUCUGGUGGGUAGUUUGACUGGGGCGGUCUCCUCCUAAAGAGUAACGGAGGAGCACGAAGGUUGGCUAAUCCUGGUCGGACAUCAGGAGGUUAGUGCAAUGGCAUAAGCCAGCUUGACUGCGAGCGUGACGGCGCGAGCAGGUGCGAAAGCAGGUCAUAGUGAUCCGGUGGUUCUGAAUGGAAGGGCCAUCGCUCAACGGAUAAAAGGUACUCCGGGGAUAACAGGCUGAUACCGCCCAAGAGUUCAUAUCGACGGCGGUGUUUGGCACCUCGAUGUCGGCUCAUCACAUCCUGGGGCUGAAGUAGGUCCCAAGGGUAUGGCUGUUCGCCAUUUAAAGUGGUACGCGAGCUGGGUUUAGAACGUCGUGAGACAGUUCGGUCCCUAUCUGCCGUGGGCGCUGGAGAACUGAGGGGGGCUGCUCCUAGUACGAGAGGACCGGAGUGGACGCAUCACUGGUGUUCGGGUUGUCAUGCCAAUGGCACUGCCCGGUAGCUAAAUGCGGAAGAGAUAAGUGCUGAAAGCAUCUAAGCACGAAACUUGCCCCGAGAUGAGUUCUCCCUGACUCCUUGAGAGUCCUGAAGGAACGUUGAAGACGACGACGUUGAUAGGCCGGGUGUGUAAGCGCAGCGAUGCGUUGAGCUAACCGGUACUAAUGAACCGUGAGGCUUAACCU